Molecule: ribosomal RNA, 301 nt
Filed under: uncultured bacterium
Lineage: Bacteria
Description: partial 16S ribosomal RNA
Rfam family: Bacterial small subunit ribosomal RNA
Source: RNAcentral
CAGUCGCCGCGGUAAUACGUAGGGUGCGAGCGUUAAUCGGAAUUACUGGGCGUAAAGCGGGCGCAGACGGUUACUUAAGCAGGAUGUGAAAUCCCCGGGCUCAACCUGGGAACUGCGUUCUGAACUGGGUGACUAGAGUGUGUCAGAGGGAGGUAGAAUUCCACGUUUAGCAGUGAAAUGCGUAGAGAUGUGGAGGAAUACCGAUGGCGAAGGCAGCCUCCUGGGAUAACACUGACGUUCAUGCCCGAAAGCGUGGGUAGCAAACAGGAUUAGAUACCCCAGUAGUCCCUGUCUCUUAUAC